This 346-nucleotide ribosomal RNA is filed under the name uncultured bacterium. Its description in RNAcentral is "partial 16S ribosomal RNA". It matches the Rfam family "Bacterial small subunit ribosomal RNA", at positions 338 to 682 of the family's 1533-position model. The record is from RNAcentral.
CCUACGGGUGGCAGCAGUGAGGAAUAUUGGUCAAUGGGCGGAAGCCUGAACCAGCCAAGUAGCGUGCGGGAUGAAGGCCCUACGGGUCGUAAACCGCUUUUGCACGGGGAUAACACCCGCCACUUGUGGAGGUCUGCAGGUACCGUGCGAAUAAGGGCCGGCUAAUUCCGUGCCAGCAGCCGCGGUAAUACGGAAGGGCCGAGCGUUAUCCGGAUUCAUUGGGCUUCACGGGCGCGUAGGCGGGCGUUCAAGUCAGCUGUAAACUCGCGCGGCUCCACCGCGCCCCGCAGUUGAAACUGGCCGCCUUGAGUUCGCCACAUGCAGGCGGCCUUCGUGGUGUAGCGGU